Molecule: ribosomal RNA, 460 nt
Filed under: uncultured bacterium
Lineage: Bacteria
Description: partial 16S ribosomal RNA
Rfam family: Bacterial small subunit ribosomal RNA
Source: RNAcentral
CCUACGGGGAGCAGCAGUGAGGAAUAUUGGUCAAUGGACGAGAGUCUGAACCAGCCAAGUAGCGUGAAGGAUGACUGCCCUAUGGGUUGUAAACUUCUUUUAUAUGGGAAUAAAAUGUUCCACGUGUGGGAUUUUGUAUGUACCAUCUGAAUAAGGAUCGGCUAACUCCGUGCCAGCAGCCGCGGUAAUACGGAGGCUCCGAGCGUUAUCCGGCUUUAUUGGGUUUAAAGGGAGCGUAGGUGGAUUGUUAAGUCAGUUGUGAAAGUUUGCGGCUCAACCGUAAAAUUGCAGUUGAAACUGGCAGUCGUGAGUACAGUAGAGGUGGGCGGAAUUCGUGGUGGAGCGGUGAAAUGCUUAGAUAUCACGAAGAACUCCGAUUGCGAAGGCAGCUCACUGGACUGCAACUGACACUGAGGCUCGAAAGUGUGGGUAUCAAACAGGAUUAGAUACCCGAGUAGUC